GGAAGAUCAUUCUUUUAUCCUCUCUUGUUUUUGAAAGGGUGAAACAUAAAAGAUACGAAAGUAGGGGAAAGCAAAUUGGAAAUUUAAAAUGCAUUUUUGCAUAGUUUAAAAAGUUAAGUUUUCAAAUUGGAAAAGGGAAAAUGAGUAAACAAGCUAUAGAUUCAAUUUCUCCCCAAAUUGGGGUGAAUGAUUUUUGUGGGACCAAGUAAUUAAUUUUUAAUCUAUUUCCUCCUCCCCUCUUUUUCUUGUUGAAAGUUGGAUU
Molecule: unclassified non-coding RNA, 262 nt
Filed under: Hevea brasiliensis (rubber tree)
Lineage: Eukaryota; Viridiplantae; Streptophyta; Magnoliopsida; Malpighiales; Euphorbiaceae
Source: RNAcentral